GUAUUUUGAAUUGUUUUAUUCAUAAUAUUUUUCAGACAAAGAGUUGAGAUAAUAGUUGAUGUUUGGGGCUGAUCAAAAGAGACCAACCCUGACAUUGCACACAAGGUGGAUAUGGAUUUUUAAAGAGUGCCAUAAAACACUCGUUUGUGAAUGAUCCUUCCGCAGGUUCACCUACGGAAA
This 180-nucleotide unclassified non-coding RNA is filed under the name uncultured fungus. RNAcentral's name for it is "sequence contains ITS1". Lineage: Eukaryota; Fungi. The record is from RNAcentral.